Molecule: ribosomal RNA, 1014 nt
Filed under: Triticum aestivum (bread wheat)
Lineage: Eukaryota; Viridiplantae; Streptophyta; Magnoliopsida; Poales; Poaceae
Description: partial small subunit ribosomal RNA
Source: RNAcentral
AUGGAAGCUACCAUAUCUGUAGUCACAGGUGAACUAGUGAGCCGUUUCAUCUCCUUCCCGAAGAACCAGUACUACUCAUCUUUGAGCGAUGCACAAUCAGAGGAGAAGGUGGUGAGGAGAUUGCAGCACCUCCUGAUGAGAGUCAGCAUCAUCAUCGAGGAGGCAGAUGCACGGUACAUAACAAAUUAUGGGAUGUUGUUGCAGCUAAAGAUGCUCUCGGAGGCCAUGUACAAAGGGUACCGCGUGCUGGACACCUUGAGGUAUCAAAACCUCCAAGACAGUGCAGACACUAACGAGGUUAGUAUCGAUGACCCAUCAAGCAGCAUCUUGUAUAUAUCCAUUCCUUUCAAGCGUUCUCGAAAAAAAAUUGAGAAGCAUGACAUGGCCAUGCACCUCGAGUCAGAUGGUGCCUUGGAAAGCUUAGAACUUGCUGUUGCUAACAUGGCAGAAUUUGUUGUCCUUCUGAGUGGAUGUGAGCGCAUGUCUCGUAGGCCAUAUGAUGUUUAUCUUUACACCAACAACUUCAUGUUCAGCCGACAUGCUGAAAAGCAAAAACUAUUGAGCUUCUUGUUGGAGCACAACAAUCCUCCUGGUGAUCAUGCACCGACAGUUCUUCCAAUCAUAGGUGGUUUCGGAGUUGGAAAGAAAACAUUGGUUGCUCAUGUGUAUGCAGAUGAAAGGGUUCGCUCACGCUUCUCCUCUACAUUGCACUUGAAUGGAGACAACCUCUUGACAAUACUGGACCAUGGAGGGGCCAUGUUUGACAUGAUGUUGGUAGUUAUAGAGUUUUCUUCUGAUAUAAGUGACGACGAAUGGAAAAAGUUUCACUUGUUUCUCGUAAGAAUGAGUAGAGGAAGCAAGAUCAUCAUCGUAAGUAAACUGAAAAGAUUAGCCCGUUUUGGAUCAGUGCAACCUAUUUUCCUAAGUGUUUUGUCUUAUGAUGAGUUGAGGUAUCUUUUUAAGACCCUAGCAUUCGGGAGUGUAGACCCUGCAGAACAUCCACAACUAGUAUAA